GUGUCAGCCGCCGCGGUAACACGUAGGGGGCGAGCGUUGUCCGGAUUUAUUGGGCGUAAAGAGCUCGUAGGCGGCUCGGUAAGUCGGGUGUGAAAUUUCGAGGCUUAACCUCGAAACGCCACCCGAUACUGCUGUGGCUAGAGUCCGGUAGGGGAGCGUGGAAUUCCUGGUGUAGCGGUGAAAUGCGCAGAUAUCAGGAGGAACACCAGCGGCGAAGGCGGCGCUCUGGGCCGGUACUGACGCUGAGGAGCGAAAGCGUGGGGAUCAAACAGGAUUAGAUACCCUAGUAGUCC
Molecule: ribosomal RNA, 293 nt
Filed under: uncultured bacterium
Lineage: Bacteria
Description: partial 16S ribosomal RNA
Rfam family: Bacterial small subunit ribosomal RNA
Source: RNAcentral